CUCCUGAACAGGUAUGCGCUGUGCAGCACGCGAAACAAUGGUAAGCUUUAGAUUUUGUAUUAAUAUUGUUUCUUCUUUUAAGACCAGUGUUCUGUGGCUGCAGUGCAGAGUCUGCUGACGGUGUCAUGCGCGUGUAGGGUCGGACAGCCGAGGUUGUCGUGGCUGUGUUCUCUGGCUCAGUAAUCAGGUUUCUCCCCUCCAUGGCUGCGUAGGGCCUGUGUGACCUCCAUUUCUAAUAACUGCGUUUAUAUUAACAUUGGUGUGUGUUGAACAUAUUUUUGUGUAAGAAUAAAAUUGUAUUUAUAUUUUUCUA
Long non-coding RNA from Amphiprion ocellaris (clown anemonefish), 313 nucleotides. RefSeq lists it as uncharacterized. NCBI's taxonomy places the organism in Eukaryota, Metazoa, Chordata, Actinopteri, Pomacentridae. The record is from RefSeq and is a predicted model, not a curated record. The transcript is spliced from 2 exons.